UACAGAGGGUGCAAGCGUUAUUCGGAAUCACUGGGCGUAAAGAGUUCGUAGGCGGAAUGUUAAGUCUGAUGUGAAAGCCCUGGGCUCAAUCCAGGAAGUGCAUUGGAUACUGGCAAUCUAGAAUGCAGGAGGGGAGAGUGGAAUUCCAGGUGUAGAGGUGAAAUUCGUAGAUAUCUGGAGGAACAACGGAAGCGAAGGCGACUCUCUGGACUGUUAUUGACGCUGAGGAACGAAAGCGUGGGGAGCAAACAGG
RNAcentral lists this ribosomal RNA (253 nucleotides) under uncultured bacterium. RNAcentral's name for it is "partial 16S ribosomal RNA". It matches the Rfam family "Bacterial small subunit ribosomal RNA", at positions 524 to 776 of the family's 1533-position model. The record is from RNAcentral.